UACUAAAAGCCUGGUCCCUCCACCAGGGAGCUCAGUCUGGUCCUGACUCAUAUUAUGAACAAAACUCCUACUAGCCUGGGCUGUAGCAGAAGAGAACUCAACCAACACAGGUGCCUGAGGAGCUGCAAGAGCCAGAAGCCAAAGGGUAGAAGGUGGUAGAGACCUGUGGAGACUAAGAAGGGGUUUAUCAGAAGCUGGCAGAAGACCACCAGACUGGAUAUGGCUGUUGGACUGUCAGGAAUGGUUUAUGUAUAGCUCAUUCUGCCUUGGAAUGAGAUAAAUGUAAUAAGCAGUCGUUUUCCCAUCCUUGGGUUUAGAGAACAUGUAAUUUCUGGAACGCCACUUCCCGAGCAUUUUCCAAAUCUUAGGAGCCCCUGGAAAUGGGGCAAUAGCAUCUUAUACAAACUGAGCUGAUCCUACCCAUCUCACUCCCAACGCUGACUUGAUACCCUGCAACUCCAGUAUUCAAGAACAUCAGCCUUCAAUGAUCAGCAGGGAUCCUGGUUUUCUCUUGAUUCAAAACAAAACAAUUUUUUUGAAUUAAAAAUAGUAACCCAAAAUCCACACUUCUCCGUGGUCAAAAUGAAACACCUCUGUCUGUCUGUCCUUCCUUUGUUCCUUCAAUCCCCAGUGGUUGGCACUUUUCCCAUUUGAAGCCCUUGUUGAUAUUUCACUUUCCCU
Long non-coding RNA from Alligator mississippiensis (American alligator), 681 nucleotides. RefSeq lists it as uncharacterized. The transcript has 3 exons. The record is from RefSeq and is a predicted model, not a curated record. NCBI's taxonomy places the organism in Eukaryota, Metazoa, Chordata, Crocodylia, Alligatoridae.